RNAcentral lists this ribosomal RNA (253 nucleotides) under uncultured bacterium. Its description in RNAcentral is "partial 16S ribosomal RNA". It matches the Rfam family "Bacterial small subunit ribosomal RNA", at positions 524 to 776 of the family's 1533-position model. The record is from RNAcentral.
UACGUAGGGUGCGAGCGUUGUCCGGAAUUAUUGGGCGUAAAGAGCUCGUAGGCGGUUUGUCGCGUCGGCCGUGAAAUCUCCACGCUUAACGUGGAGCGUGCGGUCGAUACGGGCAGACUGGAGUUCGGUAGGGGAGACUGGAAUUCCUGGUGUAGCGGUGAAAUGCGCAGAUAUCAGGAGGAACACCGGUGGCGAAGGCGGGUCUCUGGGCCGAUACUGACGCUGAGGAGCGAAAGCGUGGGGAGCGAACAGG